CCCCACUGAUCCUGCCAGUAGCAUAUGUUUGUCUCAAAGAUUAAGCUAUGCUAGUCUAAGUACCCAUGGCCGGUACAGUGAAACUGCGAAUGGCUAUUUAAAUCAGUUAUGGUUCCUUUGAUCGCUCUCAUGUUGGAUAGCUGUGGCAGUUCUAGAGCUAAUACAUGCCAUCAAGCGCUGACCUCCAGGGAUGCAUGCAUUUAUCAGACCCAAAACCCAUGCAUGCUUUGGUGACUCUAGAUAACCUCAAGCCGAUCACUGGCCCUCGUGUUGGAUACAUCUCAUUCAAAUGUCUGCCCUAUCAACUUUUGAUGGUACUUUCUGUGCCUACCAUGGUAACCACGGGUAUCAGGGUUCAAUUCCGAAGAGGGAGCCUGAGAAACAGCUACCGCAUCCAAGGAAGGCAGCAGGCGUGCAAAUUACCCACUCCUGACUUGGGGAGGUAGUGGCGAAAAAUAAUACAGGACUCUUUCGAGGCCCUGUAAUUGGAAUGAGUACACUUUAAACCCUUUAACAAGGAUCAAUUGAAGGGCAAGUAUGGUGCCAGCAGCUGCGGUAAUUCCAGCUCCAAUAGCGUAUCUUAAAGUUGCUGCAGUUAAAAAGCUCGUAGUUGGAUCUUGAGAUUGAGCUGAUGGUCUGCUGCGAGGUGAGUUACCGUCUGUCCCAGCCCCUGCCUCUCAGUGCCCCCUUGAUGCUCUUAGCUAAGUGUCCUGCGGGGUCCGAAGCAUUUACUUUAAAAAAAUGUGUUCAAAGCAGGCCUGGCCACCUGAAUGCCGCAGCUAGGAAUAAUGGAAUAGGACUCCAGUUCUAUUUUGUGGGUUUUCUCUCUGAACUGGGGCCAUGAUUAAGAGGGACAGCCGGGGGCAUUUGUAUUGUGCCGCUAGAGGUGAAAUUCUUGGACCAGCGCAAGACGGACGAAAGCAUUUGCCAAGAAUGUUUUCAUUAAUCAAGAACAAAAGCCAGAGGUUCGAAGAUGAUCAGAUACUGCCAUAGUUCUGACCAUAAAUGAUGCCAACUAGUGAUCCGGCGGCGUUAUUCCCAUGAUCCGCCAGGCAGCGUCCGGGAAACCAAAACCUUUGGGUUCCGGGGGGAGUAUGGUUGCAAAGCUGAAAUUUAAAGGAAUUGAUGGAAGGGUACCACCAGGAGUGGAGCCUGCGGCUUAAUUUGACUCAACACAGGAGACCUCACCUGCCUCGGACACGGAAAGGAUUGACAGAUUGAUAGCUCUAUCUCGAUUCUGGGUGGUGGUGCAUGGCCGUUCUCAGUUGGUGGAGCGAUUUGUCUGGUUAAUUCCGAUAACAAACAAGACUCCGGCGUGCUAACUAGUUAUGCGGACCCGUGCAGUAGGCGUCCAACUUCUUAGAGGGACAAAUGCGGUUCUUACACGAGAUUGAGCAAUAACAGGUCUGUGAUGCCCUUAGAUGUCCGGGGCUGCACGCGCACCACACUGAGUGGAUCAGCAUGUCUACCCUUCACUGAAAGGCAUGGGUAACCCACUGAACCCCAUUCAUGAUAGGGAUUGGGGAUUGCAAUUACUUCCCAUGAAUGAGGAAUUCCCAGUAAGCACAGGUCAUAAGCUCACGUUGAUUAAGUCCCUGCCCUUUGUAUAAACCGCCCGUUGCUACUACCGAUUGGAUGUUUUAGUGAGACCCUCGAAUUGGCCCCGCUGGGGUCAAUGGCGGAGCACCGAGAAGACCAUCAAACUUGACUAUUUAGAGGAAGUAAAAGUCAUAACAAGGUUUUCAUUGGUGAACAUGCAGAAG
RNAcentral lists this ribosomal RNA (1763 nucleotides) under Monopterus albus (swamp eel). RNAcentral's name for it is "SSU rRNA". It matches the Rfam family "Eukaryotic small subunit ribosomal RNA". The record is from RNAcentral. Lineage: Eukaryota; Metazoa; Chordata; Actinopteri; Synbranchiformes; Synbranchidae.